CGGCAGGCUUAACACAUGCAAGUCGAGCGGGGGAAGGUAGCUUGCUACUGGACCUAGCGGCGGACGGGUGAGUAAUGCUUAGGAAUCUGCCUAUUAGUGGGGGACAACAUCUCGAAAGGGAUGCUAAUACCGCAUACGUCCUACGGGAGAAAGCAGGGGAUCUUCGGACCUUGCGCUAAUAGAUGAGCCUAAGUCGGAUUAGCUAGUUGGUGGGGUAAAGGCCUACCAAGGCGACGAUCUGUAGCGGGUCUGAGAGGAUGAUCCGCCACACUGGGACUGAGACACGGCCCAGACUCCUACGGGAGGCAGCAGUGGGGAAUAUUGGACAAUGGGGGGAACCCUGAUCCAGCCAUGCCGCGUGUGUGAAGAAGGCCUUAUGGUUGUAAAGCACUUUAAGCGAGGAGGAGGCUACUUUAGUUAAUACCUA
This 427-nucleotide ribosomal RNA is filed under the name Acinetobacter baumannii OIFC189. Its description in RNAcentral is "bacterial SSU rRNA". It matches the Rfam family "Bacterial small subunit ribosomal RNA", at positions 40 to 476 of the family's 1533-position model. Lineage: Bacteria; Pseudomonadati; Pseudomonadota; Gammaproteobacteria; Moraxellales; Moraxellaceae. The record is from RNAcentral.